Molecule: microRNA, 22 nt
Filed under: Homo sapiens (human)
Lineage: Eukaryota; Metazoa; Chordata; Mammalia; Primates; Hominidae
Description: hsa-miR-4425
Source: miRBase by way of RNAcentral
UGUUGGGAUUCAGCAGGACCAU